Small nuclear RNA from Dipodomys ordii (Ord's kangaroo rat), 100 nucleotides. The record is from Ensembl. Lineage: Eukaryota; Metazoa; Chordata; Mammalia; Rodentia; Heteromyidae.
GUGCUAGCUUCCCCAGCACGUGUACUAAAAUUGGAAUGAUACAGAGAAGAUUUGCAUGCACAAGGAUGGCACACAAAUUCGUGAAGCGUUCCAUAUUUUU